UACUACGGAUUGUCUCUGGGAAAACCAAGGCAUCACAACUGAUCUAACGACGAUUGAAAACAAAGCUGGACUCUUUUUUGCAGUGUCAUUGGAUUUGCCAUCAGGGCAAAGCCAGAAGAAAGAUGUCAAAUAGCCUGACCAACUCUGGAAGUUCUCCAGGAAUGAUGCAUCUAUUUGCUUGAAGAUGGAGCCAUCACCAAUUCAACACUGAACAAAAAAACCCACCAGUGAUGACAAGGAGGAAAAGACUCGGCAAGGAUCAAACAGGAGAACAUGAGCAUCACAACUAAUGGGUGGAGAAACACAAGCGAGGAUGUUAAAGAGUAAGGUGCGUCGUCCAAGUGAAUUCGACAGCAGAAGACGGGCCCACGGUAGAUGCCGGAGAGAAGAUGAAGAUGAGGAUCAAGAAGUAAAGAUAGUUACGACAAAUUACCCACUUUCGUCACCCAAGCAAGGAGGUUAAAGAGAGUGAGCUGGGACAUAAUGGAGCGAGGAAGAUGGAUGCAGCCACCCAAGAGAGGACUCGGCAGCUGAAGACCGCUGCUGGAGAACGGAGAGAAGAGGAAGAGGAGCAUCUGCCAAUGUAAGUGACGACAAAUGCGGAAGGCGACACCUGAAAAACAAGGGAUCUCUGGUAAUGAAGCCUCUCCUUGUCACAGGACAGAACCCACACCUAAAUCAACACUGAACAAAAUCAGGAACAUACAUGGGAGGAACAGGAGCAUCACAUCCCUACCACAGAUUGUCUCUGGGAAAACCAAGGCAUCGCAACUCACCAGAAGAAGCUGGAGCUAACGACGAUUGAGAACCAAUCUUUUUGCAUUGUCAUUGGAUUCACCAGAAGGGCAAAGCCAGAAGAAAGACGUCAAAUAGCCUGGCCAGCUCGGGGAGCACUCUGCUAGCAGGGCAGACUCUCCAGGAAUGAUGCAUCUUUCUGACUGAAGGUGGACCCAUCAUCAAUUUAUAACCGAAUAAAAGAAAAUACCAGUGAUGACGAGGAUGAAAAGACCCAUCCAGGACCAAACAGGAGAGUAUGAACAUCAUAACUGAAGCUGCAUGUUGAUGGGAAACACAAGCAAAGAUGUUAAAGAGAUCAAGGAGUGCCCCCCAAGAGAGGAUUUGGCAGCUGAAGACGGGCCCGCGGUGGAUGCCGGAUGUUGGACUUGCCCCAUGGUGGUUACCGGAGAGAAGAUGGAAAAGAGGAGUAAGUGGCAAAGACAGUUACAGCAAAUGACCCACUUUCGUCACCCAAGCAAGGACGUUAAAGAGUGAGCUGAGACCUCGGGGAGCGAGGAAGAUGGAUGCAGCCACCCAAGAGAGGACUCGGCAGCUGAAGACGGCUGCCGGAGGACGGAGAAAAGACAGAGAGGAGCAUCUGCCAAUGGUAGUGACGACAAAUGUGGAAGGCGACACCUGAAAAACAAGGGAUCUCUGGUAAUGAAGCCUCUCCUUGUCACAGGACAGAACCCACACCUAAAUCAACACUGGACAAAAUGAGGAACAUACAUGGGAGGAACAGGAGCAUCAGAUUGUCUCUGGGAAAACCAAGGCAUCGCAACUCACCAGAAGUAGCUGGAGCUAACGACGAUUGAGAACCAAGAUUAACUCAUUUUUGCAUUGUCAUUGGAUUCACCAGAAGGGCAAAGCCCAAAGAAAGAUUUCAAAAAGCCCGACCAGCCCGGGGAGGACUCUGCUAGCAAGGCAGAAUCUUCAGGAGUUAUGCAUCUUUUUGACUGAAGAUAGACCCAUCACCAAUUUAACAUGGA
Leucoraja erinaceus (little skate) is the source of this 1766-nucleotide long non-coding RNA. RefSeq lists it as uncharacterized. Lineage: Eukaryota; Metazoa; Chordata; Chondrichthyes; Rajiformes; Rajidae. The transcript has 2 exons. The record is from RefSeq and is a predicted model, not a curated record.